RNAcentral lists this ribosomal RNA (400 nucleotides) under Stygiobacter sp. GWF2_38_21. RNAcentral describes it as "bacterial SSU rRNA". It matches the Rfam family "Bacterial small subunit ribosomal RNA", at positions 1142 to 1533 of the family's 1533-position model. The record is from RNAcentral. Lineage: Bacteria; Pseudomonadati; Ignavibacteriota; Ignavibacteria; Ignavibacteriales; Melioribacteraceae.
AAUGGGACUGCCUACGCAAGUAGUGAGGAAGGUGGGGAUGACGUCAAGUCAGCAUGGCCCUUACGUCUAGGGCUACACACGUGCUACAAUGGGUACUACAACGGGUUGCUAAACCGCGAGGUGGUGCUAAUCCCUUAAAAGUAUCCUCAGUUCGGAUUGCAGUCUGAAACUCGACUGCAUGAAGCUGGAAUUGCUAGUAAUCGCGCAUCAGCACGGCGCGGUGAAUACGUUCCCGGGCCUUGUACACACCGCCCGUCAAGCCAUGGAAGCCGGGGGUACCCAAAGCCAGUGACCUAACCGCAAGGAAGGAGCUGUCUAAGGUAAAACCGGUGACUGGGGCUAAGUCGUAACAAGGUAGCCGUACCGGAAGGUGCGGCUGGAUCACCUCCUUUCUAAAGAG